AGGAUUAUAAUUUAAAUUAAAAAAAUUUUUAAUUUGCAAUUAAAAAAUAUUGAAUCUAUCAAUUUAUCUUA
RNAcentral lists this transfer RNA (71 nucleotides) under Euplectus karstenii. RNAcentral's name for it is "tRNA-Ala". The record is from RNAcentral. Lineage: Eukaryota; Metazoa; Arthropoda; Insecta; Coleoptera; Staphylinidae.